This 3230-nucleotide long non-coding RNA is filed under the name Homo sapiens (human). Its description in RNAcentral is "non-protein coding lnc-C19orf48-4:1". Lineage: Eukaryota; Metazoa; Chordata; Mammalia; Primates; Hominidae. The record is from RNAcentral.
UAGGCGGAUCACCUGAGGUCAGGAGUUCGAGAUCAGCCUGCCCAGCAUGGCGAAACCCCGUCUCUACUAAAAAUACAAAAAACAUUAGCUGGGUGUGGUGGCAGCCACCUGUAAUCCCAGCUACUCAUGAGGCUGAAGAAUCACUUAAACUUGGGAGGCGGAGGUUGCAGUGAAUCAAGAUCGCGCCACUGCACUCCAGCCUGGGUAACGAGAGCGAAACUCCGUCUCAAAAAAAUAAAAAUAAAAUAAAAUUUAAAAAUUAGCCGUGAGAUGGGCGUAGUGGCUCAUUCCUGUAAUCCCAGCACUUUGGGAGGCUGAGGCUGGUGGAUCACUUAAGUUCAGGAGUUCGAGACCAGCCUGGCCAACAUGGCAAAAGCCUGUCUCUACUAAAAAUACAAAAAUUAGCCAGGCUUGGUGGUGCGUGCCUGUAAUCCCAGCUACUCUGAAGGCUGAGGCAGGAGAGUCCCUUGAACCUGGGAGGCAGGGGCUGCAGUGAGCCAAGAUCGUGCCACUUCAUUCCAGCCCAGGCAACAGAGCAAGACUCUGUCUCAAAAAAAAAAAAAAAAAAAAUUAGUCAGGUAUGGUGGCACGUGCCUGUAGUCCCAGCAAAAGAUUCAUCAAAAACAAAAACAGAACAAAACAAAAAAAACUUCUUGGCACAUAGUAGGUGCUCAAGCAUUGUUAGGUCUCGUUAUUAAUACUGCUAUAGUCCUGCUUCGAUUAACAUCAGGAAUAAAUUCUGAGAGAUGUAUCCUUAGGUGAUUUCAUCAUUGUAUAGAUAUCAUAGAGUGUGCUUACACAAACCUAGGUGGGAGAGUCUGCUACACACCUGUGCCAGAUGAUCUAGCACAGGGGUCUAGGCCAUAGCCCAAAUGCGACCAUCUAUUUAUUUUUUGAGACGGAGUCCCACUCUGUCACCCACACUGAUUUGCAAUGGCACAAUCUCAACUCACUGCAACCUCCGCCUCCCAGGUUCAAGCGAUUCUUCUGCCACAGCCUCCCAAGUAGCUGGGAUUACAGGCAUGCACCACCACACCUGGAUAAUUUUUGUAUUUUUAGUAGAGAUGGGUUUUCACCAUGUUGGCCAGGCUGGUCUCAAAACGCCUGACCUCCAGUGAUCCGUCCACCUCGGCCUCCCAAAGUGCUGUAAUUCCAGCUACUGGGAAGGCUAAGGCAAAAGAAUCACUUCAACCCAGGAGGCAGAGAUUGCAGUGAGCCGAGAUCACACCAUUACACUCCUGCCUGGGUGACAGAGCAAGACUCCAUCUCAGAAAAAGAAAAAAUGUAAGACACAAACACACACACAUCAGCCUAGGCCUAUGCAGGGUCAGGAUCAUCAACGUCACUGUCUUCCAUCUCCACGUCUUAUCCCACUGGAAGAUCUUCAGGGGCAAUAACACCCUUGGAGCUGUCGUCUCCUAGGAUAACAGUGCUUUUUUCUGGACACCUUCUGAAGGAGCUGCCUGAGGCUGUUUUGACAGUUAAUUUUUCCCUUUCCUUUUUUUUUUUUUUGAGGCAAGGUCCCACUCUGUUACCCAGGCGGGAAUGCAGUGGCACAGUCUCAGCUCACUGCAGCUUAUGCCUCUCAGGCUCAAACGAUCCUCCCACCUCAGCCUCCUGAGUAGCGGGAACUAAGGCACACACCACCACACUGGGCUAAUUUUUACAUUUUUUUCUUUUUUGCAGAGACUAAGUCUCACUAUAUUGCCCAGGCUGGUCUCGAACUCUUAGACUCAAGCAGUUAACUUUUCUUUAUAAGUAAAAGGAGUACACUCUAAAAUAACAAUAAAAACUAUAGUACGGUGAAUAAAGGCCGGCCGUGGUGGCUCAUACCUGUUUCCCAGCACUUUGGGAGGCCAAAGUGGGUGGAUCACUUGAGGUCAGGAGUUCGAGACCAGCCUGGCCAACAUAGUGAAACCCCAUCUCUACUAAAAAUACAAAAAGUAUUCGGGCAUGGUGGUGCAUGCCUAUAAUCCCAGCUACUCAGGAGGCUGAGGCAGGAGAAUCACUUGAACUGGGGAGGCAGAGGUUGCAGUGAGCCAGCCUGGGUGACAGAACGAGACUCCAUCUCAAAAAACAAACAAAGAAACCUAUAUAUAGUAAAUAUAUACACCAGUAACAUAGUUGUUUAUUGACUUUUUUUUCUUUUUUGUAGAGACAGGGUCUCACUAUGUUGCAUGGGCUGGUCUCGAACUUCUGGCCUCGAGCGAUUGCCCUACUUCAGCCUCCCAAAGUGCUGGGAUUACAGGUGCGAGCCACCAUGUCCUGCCCGUUGCCAUUGACAGGUAUGAUGUACUGUACACAAUUAUAUGUGCUAUGCUUUUCUAUGACUGGCAGUCAAGUAGGUCUGUGUACACCAGCAUCGGCACAAACAUUAGAGUAACGCCUUGAGCUACUCCAUUAGGACAGCGACAACAUCACCGGGCAAUUGCAGUCUUAGCUCCAUUAUAAUCGGUGGGGCCACCGUCGGACGUGCAGUCUGUCAUUGACAGAAACCUCGUUAUGCUGCACAUGGCUUUAUUCCCUCGGGAGAAUGCUGCGGCCUCAGCAGUAACAUUUCACUGACUCUAAGGCACAUCAUGUCAACAGGUGUCACCAGAAAGACAAGAUGUUGUAACCAAGCGAGUUAGAGAGAAAUGCCACACUUUGAGACAAAUUAUGGAGUCCUUUAUUAGCCAGCGACUGAGAGACAGCUAGCGCUUAGAAUUCUCUCCAUCUCGAAGAAGGGGCUAGAUUCUCUUUUAUACUAUGGUCUAAAUAGAGGAGGGGGAGUUUAACUGAAGUAGUUUUACAGAAGCAGAACAGGCAAAAAGUUAAAAAAUUAAUUGGUUAUGGAAGCAGUUACAAAAAAUAAACAGUUCCAGGUGCAGGGGCUUAAACUAUCACUAAGAGAUAAAUGCAGGGGCUUUUAGGUACCUUCCACCGAGCAGGAGCUGCUAAUACAGGCUGCCUCAAUAUCUUAUCAGCAGGUGCAUUCCUGGAUGUGCUUGGUGUCAGCUUGCACUAGUUAUUCCCUUAAGGGGGAUACGGGGGGCCCCAAGUGAAGAAACCAAAAUGGAGUCUGUCCAGCUCUCUCUGCUAGGAGACAGUCACUCCGGUUAAAACAGGGUAAGGUAUCACAAAGACACAGCCUAAAAAAUGCAAUCCAAUGCUUAUUUUAUUUUAUUUUAUUUUUUGAGUUGGAGUCUCGCUCUCUCGCCCAGGCUGGAGCACAAUGGUGCGAUCUUGGC